CGAUUAGCUAGUUGGUGGGGUAAAGGCCUACCAAGGCGACGAUCGGUAGCCGGACUGAGAGGUUGAACGGCCACAUUGGGACUGAGACACGGCCCAGACUCCUACGGGAGGCAGCAGUGGGGGAUAUUGCACAAUGGGGGAAACCCUGAUGCAGCAACGCCGCGUGAGGGAAGAAGGUUUUCGGAUUGUAAACCUCUGUCCUUAGUGAAGAUAAUGACGGUAGCUAAGGAGGAAGCUCCGGCUAACUACGUGCCAGCAGCCGCGGUAAUACGUAGGGAGCGAGCGUUGUCCGGAUUUACUGGGUGUAAAGGGUGCGUAGGCGGCAAUGCAAGUCAGAUGUGAAAUACAUGGGCUUAACCGAUGAACUGCAUUUGAAACUGUGUUGCUUGAGUGAAGUAGAGGCAGGCGGAAUUCCCUGUGUAGCGGCGAAAUGCGUAGAGAUAGGGAGGAACACCAGUGGCGAAGGCGGCCUGCUGGGCUUUAACUGACGCUGAAGCACGAAAGCAUGGGUAGCAAACAGGAUUAGAUACCCUGGUAGUCCACACCGUAAACGAUGAUUACUAGGUGUGGGGGGACUGACCCCUUCCGUGCCGGAGUUAACACAAUAAGUAAUCCACCUGGGGAGUACGGCCGCAACGUUGAAACUCAAAGGAAUUGACG
RNAcentral lists this ribosomal RNA (660 nucleotides) under uncultured bacterium. Its description in RNAcentral is "bacterial SSU rRNA". It matches the Rfam family "Bacterial small subunit ribosomal RNA", at positions 238 to 915 of the family's 1533-position model. The record is from RNAcentral.